Scleropages formosus (Asian bonytongue) is the source of this 702-nucleotide long non-coding RNA. RefSeq lists it as uncharacterized. NCBI's taxonomy places the organism in Eukaryota, Metazoa, Chordata, Actinopteri, Osteoglossiformes, Osteoglossidae. The record is from RefSeq and is a predicted model, not a curated record. The transcript is spliced from 4 exons.
CGUGUCUCCGGAGAUACGUAUCUGGGAUCUCUGAGGGUGUCGGGAUGCCCUGGUUGUGCUUUAUAACACAAGGACUGUAUCUGCAACGCCAGCACAGUGUGAAGGAGCUACUGCCGCUGAGGCUUUUACGCAGACAGAAAGCAUUCCUGUCUUUAACAGUAUCCGGCGAAAUUCGUUCCAUGAGAGCAGCGGACAUGGAGGCGAACAGACAUGAAGCUGCUGCACCUCCCGUCAGAAGCUACUGCAAGUCACUCGCUUUGCUUGCUUAAGCCUGGUGACAGAGGUGUGUUUCAAGAAGGUGGUAUGAGCAUCAGAGCAUAUGCAGAAGCGAUUAGUCAAGACGACGUGGCAAGCAGGCUUGAUCCAGAUGGCUCGGAGGCAAUCGUGAAAUAGAGUCGUGAGAAUGAAUAGGCAAAAUCAUAUGCUGGCUAUGCGAACAGUCCCUUGCUGUAGCAACUACUAAGAGAAGACCUUAUGACUUCAGACCAUCAAGGAUGGAAAUGGAAUCAGGUUGAGUCUGACUUGCAGCGACCACUCGCGUGAUCUCCAAGGCAAGAAAGGAACGGAACUGGUUUGCCAGUGCCUUCUACCAUGCAUGUCCGGGGUACGGAAACACGGGGAGAAUCAUGCAAAUCCCAUGGCCACCAAGCAGCUCGGGAGCAAUGAGACACUCAGCGGGGCCAAAGCACCACAGAAAAAGAA